UACAGAGACUGCAAGCGUUAUUCGGAUUCACUGGGCGUAAAGGGCGCGUAGGCGGCCUUCUAAGUCGGACGUGAAAUCCCUCGGCUUAACCGAGGAACUGCGUCUGAUACUGAAAGGCUUGAAUCCGGGAGAGGGAUGUGGAAUUCCAGGUGUAGCGGUGAAAUGCGUAGAUAUCUGGAGGAACACCGGUGGCGAAGGCGGCAUCCUGGACCGGUAUUGACGCUGAGGCGCGAAAGCUAGGGGAGCAAACGGG
This 253-nucleotide ribosomal RNA is filed under the name uncultured bacterium. Its description in RNAcentral is "partial 16S ribosomal RNA". It matches the Rfam family "Bacterial small subunit ribosomal RNA", at positions 524 to 776 of the family's 1533-position model. The record is from RNAcentral.